This 354-nucleotide unclassified non-coding RNA is filed under the name uncultured fungus. Its description in RNAcentral is "partial contains small subunit ribosomal RNA, internal transcribed spacer 1, and 5.8S ribosomal RNA". The stretch from base 1 to 73 matches the Rfam family "Eukaryotic small subunit ribosomal RNA", at positions 1759 to 1831 of the family's 1831-position model. Lineage: Eukaryota; Fungi. The record is from RNAcentral.
GCAAACUUGGUCAUUUAGAGGAAGUAAAAGUCGUAACAAGGUUUCCGUAGGUGAACCUGCGGAAGGAUCAUUAUUGAAUAAACUUGGUUGGGUUGAUGCUGGCUCUUAGGAGCAUGUGCACGCUCACUCCAUUUUUAACCACCUGUGCACCUUGUGUAGAUCUGGACAACUCUCGAGGAAACUCGGUUAGAGAAUUGCUGUGUGUAAAAACCAGCUUUUCUUGAGUUCAGAUCUAUGUUUUUAUAUACACCCAAGAAUGUAUUGGAAUGUAAUUGAUAGGCGUCACAGCCUUUAAAAUCAAAUACAACUUUCAACAACGGAUCUCUUGGCUCUCGCAUCGAUGAAGAACGCAGC